RNAcentral lists this ribosomal RNA (217 nucleotides) under Cordyceps militaris. RNAcentral's name for it is "partial 18S ribosomal RNA". It matches the Rfam family "Eukaryotic small subunit ribosomal RNA", at positions 1617 to 1831 of the family's 1831-position model. Lineage: Eukaryota; Fungi; Ascomycota; Sordariomycetes; Hypocreales; Cordycipitaceae. The record is from RNAcentral.
GUAAGCGCAAGUCAUCAGCUUGCGUUGAUUACGUCCCUGCCCUUUGUACACACCGCCCGUCGCUACUACCGAUCGAAUGGCUCAGUGAGGCGUCCGGACUGGCCCAGGGAGGUGGGCAACUACCCCCCCGGGCCGGGAAGCUCUCCAAACUCGGUCAUUUAGAGGAAGUAAAAGUCGUAACAAGGUCUCCGUUGGUGAACCAGCGGAGGGAUCAUUA